Molecule: ribosomal RNA, 497 nt
Filed under: uncultured bacterium
Lineage: Bacteria
Description: partial 16S ribosomal RNA
Rfam family: Bacterial small subunit ribosomal RNA
Source: RNAcentral
GACGAACGCUGGCGGCGUGCCUAAUACAUGCAAGUUGAGCGCUGAAGGUUGGUACUUGUACCAACUGGAUGAGCAGCGAACGGGUGAGUAACGCGUGGGGAAUCUGCCUUUGAGCGGGGGACAACAUUUGGAAACGAAUGCUAAUACCGCAUAAAAACUUUAAACACAAGUUUUAAGUUUGAAAGAUGCAAUUGCAUCACUCAAAGAUGAUCCCGCGUUGUAUUAGCUAGUUGGUGAGGUAAAGGCUCACCAAGGCGAUGAUACAUAGCCGACCUGAGAGGGUGAUCGGCCACAUUGGGACUGAGACACGGCCCAAACUCCUACGGGAGGCAGCAGUAGGGAAUCUUCGGCAAUGGACGAAAGUCUGACCGAGCAACGCCGCGUGACUGAAGAAGGUUUUCGGAUCGUAAAACUCUGUUGGUAGAGAAGAACGUUGGUGAGAGUGGAAAGCUCAUCAAGUGACGGUAACUACCCAGAAAGGGACGGCUAACUACGUG